Molecule: unclassified non-coding RNA, 226 nt
Filed under: uncultured fungus
Lineage: Eukaryota; Fungi
Description: sequence contains ITS1, 5.8S rRNA gene
Rfam family: 5.8S ribosomal RNA (bases 178-226)
Source: RNAcentral
UCUCCGUAGGUGAACCUGCGGAGGGAUCAUUACUGAGUGAGGGCCUUCGGGCUCGACCUCCAACCCUUUGUGAACACAACUUGUUGCUUCGGGGGCGACCCUGCCGUCCGCGGCUGAGCGCCCCCGGAGGCCUUCAAACACUGCAUCUUUGCGUCGGAGUUUAAGUAAAUUAAACAAAACUUUCAACAACGGAUCUCUUGGUUCUGGCAUCGAUGAAGAACGCAGC